AAAAAUUUAGUUAAAAAAUAACACUAGCUUGUCAAGCUAAAAUCAUUGAAAUAAAACAAUAAUUUUUA
RNAcentral lists this transfer RNA (68 nucleotides) under Gnathotrichus materiarius. RNAcentral describes it as "tRNA-Asp". The record is from RNAcentral. Lineage: Eukaryota; Metazoa; Arthropoda; Insecta; Coleoptera; Curculionidae.